Ictidomys tridecemlineatus (thirteen-lined ground squirrel) is the source of this 526-nucleotide non-coding RNA. The record is from RefSeq and is a predicted model, not a curated record. Lineage: Eukaryota; Metazoa; Chordata; Mammalia; Rodentia; Sciuridae.
GGUUCCUGCCAGUCUUCAUCUCAUUGCACCCCGACAGCCAGCCGGCGGCGGGGUUGCAGGAGCGUCGUUUUAGGGAUGAGCUGCUCAGGUCGGGCAGCCACAGCGGAGCCAAGUCUGGGUCUGAACGCUGGUCUUUCCAAAAGCCGGAGAACCCCGGCGCCACCAGUUUCUUCGAAAUCUGAGAAACUCUCUUGGAAACUGCAGCACAUUCCAAGAUAUGACAGGGCCUGCCAGGUGCCAGCAUUAUUAUUCUAACUGCGGGGGACAGAGAAAUAAACAAGCAGAGCUGGGCACGGGGUGCCCGCAGCCAUCCCAGCGACUGGGGAGACCCAGUUUAAAUGCCACAGCUGGAUGCUUUGUGCCAACCCGGCCUCCCUGCUCACUCGCCCCACAAACCACAGUUCACCGGCUGCUCUGGUGCUGAGCAGUGCCGCCACCCGCCACCCGGAUUCCAGGAUUGGCCUGGGAUUCUGGCCUCCCAGAAGUCCCUUCCUAGCAUUUCCUCUGAGGCAAUAAACAACCCCAC